This 46-nucleotide transfer RNA is filed under the name Emiliania huxleyi. Its description in RNAcentral is "partial tRNA". Lineage: Eukaryota; Haptophyta; Isochrysidales; Noelaerhabdaceae. The record is from RNAcentral.
GGAUGUAGCUCAGUGGUAGAGCCCCGGAUUGUGGCUCCGGUGGUCG